AUUGAACGCUGGCGGCAGGCUUAACACAUGCAAGUCGAACGAGUGGCGGACGGGUGAGUAAUGCUUGGGAAUCUGGCUUAUGGAGGGGGAUAACGACGGGAAACUGUCGCUAAUACCGCGUACCAUAGGAUGAGCCCAAGUGGGAUGAGGUCGUUGGUGGGGUAAUGGCCUACCAAGCCGACGAUCACUAGCUGGUCUGAGAGGAUGACCAGCCACCCUGGGACUGAAACACGGCCCGGACUCCUACGGGCGGCAGCAGGGGGGAAUAUUGGACAAUGGGCGAAAGCCUGAUCCAGCCAUGCCGCGUGUGUGAAGAAGUUCUUCGGAUUGUAAAGCACGUUAAGUUGGGAGGCGUUACCAACAGAAUAAGCACCGACUAACUUCGUGCCAGCAGCCGCGGUAAUUC
This 406-nucleotide ribosomal RNA is filed under the name uncultured bacterium. RNAcentral describes it as "partial 16S ribosomal RNA". It matches the Rfam family "Bacterial small subunit ribosomal RNA", at positions 30 to 526 of the family's 1533-position model. The record is from RNAcentral.